RNAcentral lists this ribosomal RNA (367 nucleotides) under uncultured bacterium. RNAcentral describes it as "bacterial SSU rRNA". It matches the Rfam family "Bacterial small subunit ribosomal RNA", at positions 30 to 396 of the family's 1533-position model. The record is from RNAcentral.
AUUGAACGCUGGCGGCAUGCCUUACACAUGCAAGUCGAACGGCAGCACGGGAGCAAUCCUGGUGGCGAGUGGCGAACGGGUGAGUAAUGCCUAGGAAUCUGCCUAGUGGUGGGGGAUAACGUUCGGAAACGGACGCUAAUACCGCAUACGUCCUACGGGAGAAAGCGGGGGAUCUUCGGACCUCGCGCCAUUAGAUGAGCCUAGGUCGGAUUAGCUAGUUGGUGAGGUAAUGGCUCACCAAGGCGACGAUCCGUAACUGGUCUGAGAGGAUGAUCAGUCACACUGGAACUGAGACACGGUCCAGACUCCUACGGGAGGCAGCAGUGGGGGAAUAUUGGACAAUGGCGAAGGACCUGAUCCAGCCAUG